GAUGAAGAACGCAGCGAAAUGCGAUAAGUAAUGUGAAUUGCAGAAUUCAGUGAAUCAUCGAAUCUUUGAACGCACAUUGCGCCCGCCAGUAUUCUGGCGGGCAUGCCUGUUCGAGCGUCAUUACAACCCUCAGGCCCCCGGGCCUGGCGUUGGGGAUCGGCGGAAGCCCCCUGUGGGCACAUGCCGUCCCUCAAAUACAGUGGCGGUCCCGCCGCAGCUUCCAUUGCGUAGUAGCUAACACCUCGCAACUGGAGAGCGGCGCGGCCAUGCCGUAAAACACCCAACUUCUGAAUGUUGACCUCGAAUCAGGUAGGAAUACCCGCUGAACUUAAGCAUAUCAAUAAGCGGAGGA
RNAcentral lists this unclassified non-coding RNA (352 nucleotides) under soil metagenome. RNAcentral's name for it is "partial contains 5.8S ribosomal RNA, internal transcribed spacer 2, and large subunit ribosomal RNA". The stretch from base 1 to 120 matches the Rfam family "5.8S ribosomal RNA", at positions 35 to 154 of the family's 154-position model. The record is from RNAcentral.